Molecule: unclassified non-coding RNA, 2347 nt
Filed under: uncultured fungus
Lineage: Eukaryota; Fungi
Description: sequence contains 18S rRNA gene, ITS1, 5.8S rRNA gene, ITS2, 28S rRNA gene
Rfam family: Eukaryotic large subunit ribosomal RNA (bases 1297-2347)
Source: RNAcentral
GGUUGGAUCAUUAUUGUAAUGCAUCCUUGGCCGGUCCUUAUCUCCUUGGAGAAAAGCCGUCGGUCACAUCUGCUGGGGAGAUGUGGCCGUUAAGCCAUUCACACAUCUUGUGAACACUGAAAUGUCUUUUGGCGAUUGCUGAGUCCUUCAGUCAUUCUUUUUGAGGUUGAAUCUGAUCCGCAAAGUGCGAUAGAGGGUUGCAGUGAAGAUGAUACCUUUGAUCCAAGAUCAGAUUUGUGCUGUCUGAUCUCUGGUGCGUGGCUGAACCGCAGCGGUGAAAUAAAAAGGCACUGGAUUCUUGGGCUUGAAUUCAGCUAAUUGGCUUUCACCUUUUCUCCAUGAAAUACUCAGAGGUUCUGCUUGUCUCGGAGUUCAGUAAUGAAGAUUUAAGCUGUGGGCGGGUGCUUGUGGUUCUUCCACACACUCCAGCUUGGAGUCGCCAAGCAAGUAAAUGAACACACUCAUUGUAUUUCUUUAUGAAAACCAAGUGGAAUCUGAAUCAAUCUGUAUGACAGAAUCUGAUCUGCGAAGUACGAGUAGAGAGUCGCAGUGAGGAGGAAGCUCCAGAUUGAUUUUUAAGGUGACACUUUUCGGAACUUUGCUGACUCAGACCUGUUUGAUGAGCGCGAUUGAGGGCAUCAACGGCAAUGACGAAUGCUCUGUGAUGAUAAAUCAGAAACAACUUUAGACAAUGGAUCUCUCGGCUCUCGCAUCGAUGAAGAACGCAGCGAAAUGCGAUACGUAGUGUGAAUUGCAGAUACUCGUGAAUCAUCGAAUCUUUGAACGCAUAUUGCACCCAUUGGUUAUUCCGAUGGGUAUGUCUGUUUGAGCACCUGUACGUCUGUCACAAAUACUGAGGGAUUCCUUUGCACUUGUUCUUGUGCAUGAAUCCUUGAUGAAAGCUUCAACCAAUUCGACCGCCAUUGUAUUGGUUGUUUUUUUCAUCUUCACUUGGUUGGCGUGGAAUUGGGCGUUCACUCUCUCUUCUUUCAUCCUUCCGACUGUGGGCCUUUCGGUUCGGUUGAUGAGGAGCGGGCGAUGCCUUAAAUAUAGUGUCGGGAACUAUGCAAAACUUUGCUUCAAUGCUCCAGUUUGUUCCAAAGCUUGACGUUAUAAUGGGAUGUGCGCCAUUUUUCGUUUUGAUUUGUGUUCUCUUCUGUCAUUGAGUAGGUCUUUGUUUUCACGAUAUUUUCAGAAGACCGAUCUUGUGUUUUCUUACUUGCCAGGCGAUCUUGUCUCACUCUUUCUACCUUGUGCUUGUUGGGGAGGUGAACAUGUGUCGUAUACCUGAACAAAUGGUCUCAAAUCAGACAUGACUACCCGCUGAACUUAAGCAUAUCAGUAAGCGGAGGAAAAGAAAAUAACAAUGAUUCCCUUAGUAGCGGCGAGCGAAGCGGGAUGAGCUCAAACUUUAAAAUCUCCCUAACGGGCGAAUUGUGGUUUAAGAAGCGUUUUCUUUGGGAUGGGCUCGGUCCAAGUCUUUUGGAACGAGGCAUCAGAGAGGGUGAAAAUCCCGUACCUGACCGCAGCUCCAUUUCCUUUUUAUGAGGCGUCUUCGGAGAGUCGGUUAGCUUGGGAAUGCUGACCUAAAUGGGUGGUAAAUACCAUCUAAAGCUAAAUAUAUGCGAGAGUCCGAUAGCGAACAAGUACCGUGAGGGAAAGAUGAAAAGUACUCUGAAGAGAGGGUCAAAUAGUACGUGAAAUUGUCUAAAGUGAAACGCUUGAUACCAUGAUAGUGCGGCUGGGAUCAUCCAUCUCCUUCUUCACGGAAGCGAAUGGUGCACUCCCAUGCUCGUGCGGGUCAGCAUCAGUUUGAAUUGGGGUAAAAAGCUUGAGGUCUGAUGCUAGCCACAUCAGCAUCUGCUUGUCUAUACCCUGGUUCAGACUGAGGAUCGCAGCCAUGCCAUUGGGGAUCCUUCCGUUCUCUUUCUUCCGGAGAACAGUUCAGCUUGCUGACUGUUUUCUUGGCGGAUUGCGCGCGGUUGGUGACCACUUCAUGUGCUUGGGAUGCUGGCUUAAUGGUCUCAAACGACCCGUCUUGAAACACGGACCAAGGAGUCGAACACACCUGCGAGUCUUUGGGCUGCAAACCCAUCGGCGUAAUGAAAGUGAACGGGUAUGAAUCCCUUACGGGAGGCAAUAUCGACCGGUCCUGAAGUCUUUGUACUGAUAGAUCUGAGUUAGAGCAUGUGUGUUCGGACCCGAAAGAUGGUGAACUAUACCUGGAUAGGGCGAAGCCAGAGGAAACUCUGGUGGAGGCUCGUAGCGAUUCUGACGUGCAAAUCGAUCGUCGAAUCUGGGUAUAGGGGCGAAAGACUAAUCGAACCAUCUAGUAGCUGGUUCCCUC